AGGUUUGCCCAGACAGUGCUGCAGGCUGAGAGAUCUCAUGAUUUGAAGGUAAUGUCUCAUUUUUAUAAUCAGAUGUUUGACUUCGCUGUUCGUCCAUGGAUCCUCAUUUGGAUCACUCAGAUGCUUUUGCUAACGGUGACAUUGUCAGCACAGUGGUUAAUGUAAGACAGUGCAGAUGAAGUGUCCACCUCUAGGUCCGUCUCAUGGACAAUUAUAUUUAAUUCUGUAUGUUCAAAACAUAAGUUUUAGUGCUAGCUUAGCGUUAGCAUGUGGCAGCAUGUAUACUGCCAUGACAACAGUGACUGUAUGUUCCCUAGGCGAGUGAAACGAUCAGAAAUGAAGCAUUAAAUAUUCCAUAUGGCGAGCAGAAUGUACGAGUGUUCAUGUUGGUGCAUCAUGUUUCAUUAAUGUAAACACAGAGCUCUGUCGGCACGAUGAAGUGAGCGGCCUGCUGGCUCCACUGUGGUAUUCAGUAUGUUGUGGUUCAGCCAUGUCUCCAUAAAAAUCUAAAUACAGCCUCGUUUAUGGUCCUCUGUGUAGCGAUGGUCAGUCUGAGCUUUUGUUAGCGACUGAUCUUACAUUAUUUAUUUAUUUAUUUAUUUAUUUAUUUAUUUAUUUAUGCCCAGGCAGUGUAAUAACCCAGUAACCCAGAAUGACAAAGUACUUUCCUCUCUCUCUCUCUCUCUCUCUCCUGCAGACUCUGUAAUUAAAAUCACGUUUAGUAUUUAAUAAAUUGUACAGUUGAGUUUUGUAUUAUAACCCUAAUGGUUAUGUUUUUUUAGUUCUGACCCAGUCAUAUGAGUCUGGUAAAAACAGAAGAAUGUGUGUAUGAAGAGCACAAACCACAGUUUAAUAUAGUAGUUUAUAAUACUACUUUAGUCAUUUCUAUAUCUUUCCUUUCUCUGUUGGACUAAACAGUAUUUUCUCUCUGCAGACUGUAUACGAGUGUAAGUGUGAAAUCCUGCACUGAUGUGGUUUCAGCUCUCUGUACAAAUCCAUCACACAUCAGAGAGCUGGAUCUGAGGUGGUGUGAACUAGGAGACUCAGGAGUGGAGAAGCUCUGUGAUCUACUGAAGAAACACGAGUGUAAACUGGAGACACUGCUCUCUCUGUACAAAUCCAUCACACAUCAGAGAGCUGGAUCUGAGUGAGUGUAAACUAGGAGACUCAGGAGUGGAGAAGCUCUGUGAUCUACUGAAGAAACACGAGUGUAAACUGGAGACACUGCGGUUAAUAGAUUGCAGUAUAACAGAUAGACACUGUGCUGCUCUGACUGCUGCACUAAAGUUAAACUCCUCACAUCUGAAAUAUCUGGAUCUGAGGGAGAAUAAACUGGGAAAUUCAGUCACACAACUCGAGGAAUUACUGCAGCGUUCAGGAGGACGACUAGAACAUAACUCCUUCAUCAGUUAAAUUAAACAUUCCUCUGAUGGGAGAAAGGAAGCAGAGUGUAACUGUAAGUUAGGAAGCAGUGUGGAUCAUGAUUAAACCCAGCAGAACCAGAACAGUAGUGAAACGGACACUCAACAAACCCAGAAUUCAGUCUUCAGGAGGUUUAUAUAAGAUCACAGAACAGAAUUGGAGUAAUGAAACCAGUAACACCAGUAAUACACAGAGACUGGAGGCUAAACAGGGGCUACACAAGCUCUCCCACCUCCAGUCCAUAAAACAAAUAGUACUAGAUAAACUUCAAAGAAACUCAUCAAUGUAGGACAGAAGAAGACAAAAGUGUCCUGUGUCCUGUAUGUGACUGUCUCCUAUUUCAGUGAAUUUACUGCUCACUUUCUGAACAAUGAAGUAUUUUAAAAAGUAAGAGUUUGUUUUUGCUCAUGUUCUGGUUUCUGGUGAUUUGUUCCACAGAGUGUCUUUUAACACUAAACCUCUUAUUCAGUAUGAACUGAAAUAAACCUGUUUAUAAAAAAGAAAACUAAAGAAGAGACUGAAUCUGUUGUUAAUUUAUAAAUUAUGCUUUAUAUUCAGUAUCUAUGUAAAUUGUGCUCAUAAGUAAAAUCUUUAUUUACUCUUCAAGACUCAUGUUUUUAUUAA
Molecule: long non-coding RNA, 2046 nt
Organism: Clarias gariepinus (North African catfish)
Lineage: Eukaryota; Metazoa; Chordata; Actinopteri; Siluriformes; Clariidae
Exons: 4
Source: RefSeq, a predicted model, not a curated record